RNAcentral lists this ribosomal RNA (301 nucleotides) under uncultured bacterium. RNAcentral describes it as "partial 16S ribosomal RNA". It matches the Rfam family "Bacterial small subunit ribosomal RNA", at positions 509 to 807 of the family's 1533-position model. The record is from RNAcentral.
CAGCCGCCGCGGUAAUACGGAGGGUGCAAGCGUUGUCCGGAAUUAUUGGGCGUAAAGAGCUCGUAGGCGGUCUGUCGCGUCUGGUGUGAAAUCCCGAGGCUCAACCUCGGGCUUGCAUCGGGUACGGGCAGACUAGAGUGCGGUAGGGGAGACUGGAAUUCCUGGUGUAGCGGUGGAAUGCGCAGAUAUCAGGAGGAACACCGAUGGCGAAGGCAGGUCUCUGGGCCGCAACUGACGCUGAGGAGCGAAAGCAUGGGGAGCGAACAGGAUUAGAUACCCGAGUAGUCCCUGUCUCUUAUAC